CAGCUUCUUUGAUUGAUAUGUCCACAUUCUUCUUUCUUCAAGUGUACCCAAUGCUAGGGAGCAGAAGUUGUGUCUUGAAUCUACCCAGCAGAAUUUAUGCUUUCCAACAGAAUCUUAAGGCAGGCCUGCAUACAGUUAACAUCUCUGCUGCAAAUCUUCCCAUGCCGAAUGGAUAAACAAUCAGUGAAGAAAAGAAAAGGCCUAAAAACCCUGCUGGAAACCCAGCUGGCAGGUAUUGAACUAUCAUGAUGGUGCAACAUGUUUUCCCAUUCUUCUUGCAGCUUCAGAGCUACCUUUUUUGUCACAUUAUAGCACCGCCAGACUCUCUGGACAUAUAUAGCAGCAGCAGUAGCUCGUCUA
RNAcentral lists this unclassified non-coding RNA (360 nucleotides) under Hevea brasiliensis (rubber tree). The record is from RNAcentral. Lineage: Eukaryota; Viridiplantae; Streptophyta; Magnoliopsida; Malpighiales; Euphorbiaceae.